CCACGCCCUCCCUGCGCCUCUUAUGGCUUCUAGGACUCCCACCAUUCAGGACUCAUUUUUUGGCUCUUUAGCACAAUCGUUUUGAACUGAAGGAAUCAGAGACUUAGAGCAACUUCUGGAAGUUUCUACCCAGUUGGCAAAGAAACCUUCUCAAUCCCCUACGUUCUCUAAACUAAGAGGACCAGAAAGUCUGCGGGCCCCAUGAUAUUCUACAUCUGCUGACACCAGGGAAACUCCACUACAAGGGAGUUGCAGAGUCUGUCACUCAGCUUGCUGAGGACCAACUCUCGGGGGCACAGUCCCUGCCUGCAAGCUGCUUGGAUCCCUUUGACAGAAUUGUCACAGCUGGACAAUUGUUGGAGCAAAGAUGAUUCAUGUGUCAUGGUGAUUUCCACGGCUGCAGUGUUAUGCUGAGAAGGAUGUUGAGGGCCCAUCUUGUCUUGGCAGGAAGAGCGUUGUCUGGGGAGAAUGUGAUAAAGAGGAGUAACUGAAGAUAAUUGGAGACUAUCGUGAUUUCCUCACUGCCAUAAUUAGUGGCAGCGGUGGGACUGGAACACAGGCAAGAAACAUCCCAA
RNAcentral lists this non-coding RNA (575 nucleotides) under Pongo abelii (Sumatran orangutan). Lineage: Eukaryota; Metazoa; Chordata; Mammalia; Primates; Hominidae. The record is from RNAcentral.